UGGGGGAUAUUGCGCAAUGGGGGCAACCCUGACGCAGCAACGCCGCGUGAAGGAUGAAGGUUUUCGGUUUGUAAACUUCUUUUAUUAAGGACGAAACUUGACGGUACUUAAUGAAUAAGCUCCGGCUAACUACGUGCCAGCAGCCGCGGUAAUACGUAGGGAGCAAGCGUUGUCCGGAUUUACUGGGUGUAAAGGGUGCGUAGGCGGCUUUGCAAGUCAGAUGUGAAAUCUAUGGGCUCAACCCAUAAACUGCAUUUGAAACUGUAGAGCUUGAGUGAAGUAGAGGCAGGCGGAAUUCCCCGUGUAGCGGUGAAAUGCGUAGAGAUGGAGAGGAACACCAGUGGCGAAGGCGGCCUGCUGGGCUUUAACUGACGCUGAGGCACGAAAGCGUGGGUAGCAAACAGG
This 405-nucleotide ribosomal RNA is filed under the name Acidobacteriota bacterium. RNAcentral's name for it is "Acidobacteria bacterium partial 16S ribosomal RNA". It matches the Rfam family "Bacterial small subunit ribosomal RNA", at positions 355 to 776 of the family's 1533-position model. Lineage: Bacteria; Pseudomonadati; Acidobacteriota. The record is from RNAcentral.